This 110-nucleotide transfer RNA is filed under the name Candidatus Woesearchaeota archaeon. RNAcentral's name for it is "tRNA-Ile". It matches the Rfam family "tRNA". From Rfam's summary of the family: Transfer RNA (tRNA) molecules are approximately 80 nucleotides in length. Their secondary structure includes four short double-helical elements and three loops (D, anti-codon, and T loops). Lineage: Archaea; Nanobdellati; Candidatus Woesearchaeota. The record is from RNAcentral.
GGGCCUGUAGCUUAGCCUGGUAGAGCAUCGGUCUUAUAAGCCGAAGGUCGUGGGUUCAAAAAUCGUUUAAACGAAAUUCGUAUUAGCGGUUGAUUGUCCCGUCAGGCCCA